CCAGGGUCCCCAGGUGGAAAGGGAGAGCUAGGCUUGCCUGGACCGUCUGGACUGGAUGGGGAGAAGGGUCCGAAGGGAGAUAUGGGGGAGACAGGGUCAAUCGGAGAGAAAGGAGAGAAAGGAGAGAUGGGUCUCUCUGGGCCAGGGGUAAGUAGAGAGAGACUAGUCAUACACUGAUGGGUCUCUAAGUCAGUGGUUAGUAGAGAGAGACUAG
Oncorhynchus masou masou (cherry salmon) is the source of this 214-nucleotide long non-coding RNA. RefSeq lists it as uncharacterized. The transcript has 3 exons. The record is from RefSeq and is a predicted model, not a curated record. Lineage: Eukaryota; Metazoa; Chordata; Actinopteri; Salmoniformes; Salmonidae.